RNAcentral lists this ribosomal RNA (253 nucleotides) under uncultured bacterium. Its description in RNAcentral is "partial 16S ribosomal RNA". It matches the Rfam family "Bacterial small subunit ribosomal RNA", at positions 524 to 776 of the family's 1533-position model. The record is from RNAcentral.
UACGUAGGGGGCAAGCGUUGUCCGGAAUCAUUGGGCGUAAAGAGCGCGUAGGCGGCCCAGUAAGUCCGCUCUGAAAGUCAGGGGCUCAACCCCUGGAUGCGGGUGGAUACUGCUGGGCUAGAGUCCGGAAGAGGAGAGCGGAAUUCCUGGUGUAGCGGUGGAAUGCGCAGAUAUCAGGAAGAACACCCGUGGCGAAGGCGGCUCUCUGGGACGGUACUGACGCUGAGACGCGAAAGCGUGGGGAGCGAACAGG